CCGUAGCCUGGUAGCGGGGGAUAACUAUUGGAAACGAUAGCUAAUACCGCAUAACAGUAGAUAUCGCAUGAUAGCUGCUUGAAAGGUGCAAUUGCACCACUACCAGAUGGACCUGCGUUGUAUUAGCUAGUUGGUGAGGUAACGGCUCACCAAGGCAACGAUACAUAGCCGACCUGAGAGGGUGAUCGGCCACACUGGGACUGAGACGCGGCCCAG
RNAcentral lists this ribosomal RNA (216 nucleotides) under uncultured bacterium. Its description in RNAcentral is "partial 16S ribosomal RNA". It matches the Rfam family "Bacterial small subunit ribosomal RNA", at positions 125 to 334 of the family's 1533-position model. The record is from RNAcentral.